Molecule: long non-coding RNA, 2577 nt
Organism: Aethalodelphis obliquidens (Pacific white-sided dolphin)
Lineage: Eukaryota; Metazoa; Chordata; Mammalia; Artiodactyla; Delphinidae
Exons: 3
Source: RefSeq, a predicted model, not a curated record
CGGGACAUCAUUUGAGUUUGACAGACAAUUUCAAAACCUGUGGUCACUGGACGGGAGUGGAGUUUGGCCCUGCUCCCCCGUGUCCCACCAUACAGGUCAGGAAAGUUCUUCAUUUAAAGGGUUUUAAUUUCUCUGUGGUAGAAUUGACUUACAUGUUUUCCAUAAACAAACGUUCAAGAACCUUAACAAUUUGUGUAUAUGUGAACCUCCUUUAAUAUAUAUCUAAUAUGUUAACAUCUGAGUAUACACAGCAGGUACAUUUUUCUUGGACUGGCUUUGGGUGACAGUAUUCAUGAAGGCUCUAGAAUUUACUUGUUCCUCCAAGAAUUCUUUGUAUUGGGAAUAAAUCUAUGUUGGUCUGGCUUACUUUGGGGGGCAUCGUUAAUGGUCACAUAUGUCUCAAUCUCAGUUGCACCAAUGAAGAUGUACGUUUUUGAAGCUGGAAGGUACAUGAGUCCUUCAGAGUAAUGCUAUGAGUUCAAUGGACAAUCUGCUUUCUGGUGAAUGAUUUGGAAAUCUUCAAUAUGUAUUGGUGGAUCCUGAAGCAGCAUGAGAUAGAUUUCGUCCUCUAGGUGUCUCCAAAUUUUCCUUUGGUCUUAGAUGCUCCAGUCAGCUACUUUUGAAUAUACAAAUAGAAAAUAGACAGAAAAAAGUUAUUAAUCUAUCAUCAACUAUGCAGAAGACAGAUGAGACAACUGCAGGUAGAAAUGGGGUUGAUAUGAUUAGGGACUAAAUUUUUAAAAACAAAUGAGUUUGAAUACAACAUAAUCAAAGAUUCCAAAUCAUUAUGUCAUUUUCCCCAUCAACUCCAUUCUUAUUUUUCUUCCCAUGAUAAAGAGCAAACCUUAGAAAUAACAAAUAAGUAAAAAAGAAAAAACAUUUUCAAGUGAGCUUUUUGAUCAUAUUUGCUGUUGUUGUCGAGCCUUGUUUCCAAUAGUUGCUUUUUCGAGCUUUUAGGGAAAUAAUUAAUUGAAAUCCAUCAUUUUUCUCUUGGACCUAUCUAAAAUUGUGUGUGUGUGUGUAUGUGUGUCUGUGUAUGUGUGAAAAAUGUUCCUAGGAUCAGCUCUAUUUGCAUUGGUAUUUCCAGUGGAAAUGUCAAGUGUGACCUUUUUCUUGUUUGGGUGUCUAAUCCUAUUUUAAAGCCCUGUCACGCCCCUGCUGAGGGUCAGUGCCCUUGUGAAUAGAACUUCUGCACCUGCUCCCCCUUUCUUCUCCUCUUCUUCCCCUCUGCGUGGAACUGGAGGAUGUUCCGGAUGGCGAACAAAACAAUACUAUGCUUCAAUGACUGCAGUGACAGAAAAUAACUCCAGACUUGGGAAUUUGGUAGAGUAAGUUUUGAAACCAUGAGAAAAUAAACACAAAAAUCAGCAAAGCUGAAAAGAGGAAAAGAAAAAAACGUGCAGGAGCAUUGCAUUGCAUUGCUACAGAUAUCAGGGCUAACCUUCCCUUGAACUUUUCAAUUGAUAAAAUAGGGGCUCUGAUAAGGGAUCAGCUAUUGCAAAUACAGGAUGCUAAAAUCAGUGUCAUUGACAUUUCACCUGUAGGGAAAACAAUUAUUAACAUGAAAGAACUGUGGGAAAUAUAACCAAGGAAGCCCAAAUUACCAUAGCGACUGGAUUUGGUUUGCCUAUUUACCAAAGUAGAAUUUCAAACAAUUAUGCUCUGGGGAGCUGAAUUAAGCACUAAAUGAAUAUAGAUGAUUUGAAUAGUAAAAGGUUUGUACAUUCAGGCUUAUUAUCAUUUAAAGAUAAUGUUCUAUAAAAAUCAGUUCUUUUCACAGUGCUUGAGUUGAAUUAUAAUUUCCUAUCACAGGAAGUAGUAGGGAAUAAACAAAGAAUUGCUUAUUGGAUCCUAACCAAAUUUAAAUAUGUAAUUUGCCAUUAUACUGCAUUUGUUUUAAAGUUAACCAGGAGGGAAAAAUUCACACUGAAACACUGGUAAAACUAUAAAGUUCAAUAUCAACAGUUUUCCUUGACAACACAUUGACCACAAAAUCUCCAAGUGAACCAUAUUGAUGUUCUCACUAUUUUUUCCUAAAAUCCUGCUAAUUUUCUUUUUUUUUUCUUAUGAAAUAAAGCCUUCAUGGUGUUCUCUAAUCUUGUAAUACAAAUGCAUUUUAUCUUUCAUUUUGUACUAUGCUCCCAAAUCCAGUUUGGGAGGCAGCUCUUCAGUAAAUGUAUCUCUACUCUUCUCUCGUCACCUUACAUCUUGACCCUGGGAUCGGUUACUAGCUGGUUUCCUCACCUGCAGCCACCCAUCUCCACCCAAUCCAUCCUGCAAGCCACCACAAGAGUAAUCUUCCUAAAGGAUAACACGACACUCUUCCUCAAAGACCUCCAAACCCAAGAGAUAAAUAUAAAAAUGUAACUGACUUCACAAGGAGCCACCAAGCUAGUGAAGAGGUGCUGGUUCCCAGGGCCUUGUGACACUGGUGAAUCUGCUGUGUUCUUAAACUGUAAACAGAAUCCAGGAAAGAAGAUAAUAAUAAGGAAUAGUUUUGAGCACUGAUUUGUUCCAGGUAGUGUUCUAAGUACUUCACGUACACUAGUUCCUUUAAUCUUCAUGAUGACUCUAGAG